RNAcentral lists this ribosomal RNA (409 nucleotides) under Campylobacter coli. RNAcentral describes it as "partial 23S ribosomal RNA". It matches the Rfam family "Bacterial large subunit ribosomal RNA", at positions 1083 to 1347 of the family's 2925-position model. The record is from RNAcentral. Lineage: Bacteria; Pseudomonadati; Campylobacterota; Epsilonproteobacteria; Campylobacterales; Campylobacteraceae.
ACUUAAACAACCAGGAGGUUGGCUUAGAAGCAGCCAUCCUUUAAAGAAAGCGUAAUAGCUCACUGGUCUAGUGAUUUUGCGCGGAAAAUAUAACGGGGCUAAAGUAAGUACCGAAGCUGUAGACUUGCGCACAACUUAGAUUAUUUAAGUUUAGAAUAUGAGAAACUAAGUUAUAUGUUUAGUUAUAUUUUUACUGAUUUUUAUAGAGUAAAGAUAGAAAUAAAACUUAGUAAAAUCAGUAAAAAUAUUCUUAGACUAAAGUUAAGUAGUUUAAGUUGUGUGCAAGUGGUAGGAGAGCGUUCUAUUUGCGUCGAAGGUAUACCGGUAAGGAGUGCUGGAGCGAAUAGAAGUGAGCAUGCAGGCAUGAGUAGCGAUAAUUAAUGUGAGAAUCAUUAACGCCGUAAACCCA